RNAcentral lists this microRNA precursor (80 nucleotides) under Pteropus vampyrus (large flying fox). RNAcentral describes it as "miRNA (ENSPVAG00000027198.1)". The record is from RNAcentral. Lineage: Eukaryota; Metazoa; Chordata; Mammalia; Chiroptera; Pteropodidae.
GUAGGAGUGCAUGUGAGUGCAUACAUGUGUGUAUGCACACACACACACACACACACACACACACGCACACACACACACAC